RNAcentral lists this ribosomal RNA (351 nucleotides) under Triticum aestivum (bread wheat). Its description in RNAcentral is "partial small subunit ribosomal RNA". Lineage: Eukaryota; Viridiplantae; Streptophyta; Magnoliopsida; Poales; Poaceae. The record is from RNAcentral.
AUGUCAUAUAUCUCAGGAGCUAGAUCACUUCCCGAUGAACAAGUCAGAAUUGCCUUAACAAAAAUGGAUGGAAUUGGACCGAAAAAAGCCAUUCAGCUUCGUUAUCGAUUAGGUAUGAGUGGGAACAUCAAGAUGAAUGAGUUAACUAAGUAUCAGAUCGACCAAAUUGAACAAAUGAUAGCUCAAGAUCAUGUUGUUCAUUGGGAAUUGAAGAGGGGAGAACGAGCAGACAUCAAACGAUUAAUUUCUAUUUCUCAUUAUCGUGGAAUUCGUCAUCAAGAUGGAUUGCCCUUACGCGGUCAACGAACUCAUACUAAUGCAAGGACUGCUCGUAAGCAAAUUCGGAAAUGA